GUUUCAGGGCGGGGUGGAAUUCCCCACCGGCGGUGAUCGGCGAACAGCCGCGAGUCCGCGAGCCGAAAGGCAGAACCGGUGAGAAUCCGGUACCGACGGUAUAGUCCGGAUGGAAGAAA
RNAcentral lists this non-coding RNA (119 nucleotides) under bovine gut metagenome. RNAcentral describes it as "FMN riboswitch (RFN element)". It matches the Rfam family "FMN riboswitch aptamer (RFN element)". From Rfam's summary of the family: The RFN element is a highly conserved domain that is found frequently in the 5'-untranslated regions of prokaryotic mRNAs that encode for flavin mononucleotide (FMN) biosynthesis and transport proteins. This element is a metabolite-dependent riboswitch that directly binds FMN in the absence of proteins. The record is from RNAcentral.